Long non-coding RNA from Medicago truncatula (barrel medic), 3313 nucleotides. RefSeq lists it as uncharacterized. The transcript is spliced from 6 exons. The record is from RefSeq and is a predicted model, not a curated record. NCBI's taxonomy places the organism in Eukaryota, Viridiplantae, Streptophyta, Magnoliopsida, Fabales, Fabaceae.
CCGUGACAUUCAAAACCUACAAUAGGACCGCAAAGCUCAGAUUGAAAAAAAAGAAGCCAAAAGAGAGAAUCCAUUACUCCAAACUUUAAUAUUUCCACUUCAAGGUAGCAACAACAGUAAUCCAGACUACUAUCUAUCAGCAUCAGUUUGUGAUGAUUCAAACACUGCAAGUUACUUCAGCAACAAACCAAGGCUCACUCAGAAUUGACAUCCAACACCAUGUUCAUUUUUUAAAUUUAUGUAGUUGGAGAUUCUAAUUUCAUUCCAUAGUCAUAUAUUCAUACAAUUUGAAAUGAUUGUCAUGAAUCUACUAAACUUGUUGGAUGGUGUUGUUUUUAAAUGUAUUGGAGAGGCCUGAUCUCCCCAAACCAUGAUGGGUUUGCUGGAAAGUAAAAAAUAUAAUGGAAAUAAAUCUGUCCUUGUAAUGUAAAUAGAUUUUUCUCAUGGUUCAAGUUCAAUGGCUGCAGUUGGUUGCUUGCGUACUAUUAGCACAAUACUUGAAUCAGUGAACAGUCUUCCUCAACUUUUUGUACAAAUCGAGCCUACCUUGCUUCACAUAAUGCGUAGCAUGUUAACAACCAAUAGUCAAGGUAUUCCCUUAUGAAUCAUGUUUAUCUAAAUGACUCUGAGGCUUUCUUUUGCUUCUAUCACCUUGUCUUUUCAGUGUCAUUGUGUGUUUGCUUGCAUAUACACAUUUAUUGAGCAAAGUUGAUUCUACUUGAUUAUUAGUAUACUUAAAAAUAAUCCGAUGAUAAUAAAUUGGGUGGAGAGCUCUAGAUUUGAAUGUAAUUGAGAGACAAAAAUCAAGCAUCACUGUUUUUUUUUUUAUAAUUUAUUAUAAGUGGUUUGUAGGAAAGUGUCGUCCUUGUAGCUUUAUAAUGUAAUAGUAGGAUUCAGUUUGUAUUAAAAGCAAAAUAAUGUGAUGCUGAGAACAGAAGCUGGGUUAUUUAGCACUUUCAACUUAUCGGAUGUCGUUAGACUGUGGUAUUUAGACUAUUGUUAGCAAACUUAAGCUGGGUUUUACUUGGUUAUGUUUAUUUCCAUUAUCUUCUAUGCAUGGUUACAGAUGUUUUUGAAUUUUUUUUGGAGAUUGUACCAUAUAUGACUUUUUUCUCUCCAACAAUAUCACUGGACAUGUGGAAUCUUUGGCCAUUGAUGAUGGAAACACUAUCAGAUUGGGCUAUUGAUUUCAUCUCAACUUAUCUUCUUCGCCUUACAAAAGUUCAUUACUUUUCAACUUCUUUUUAUAUGUUAAUAACAUAGAAAAGCUAGAGAUGAAUCAGUGUCUCCCAGUAAACCUGAAGAUAAGUCUAUUCAAAAACAUGGAAUAUCUUUCAAAUAUUUUCCUGGUUGCUCUGACAUCUAAGUUAAUAUAAGUCUUUAUAUAUUUUCUACAUGUUUACUCGAUUAGUUUAUUCUGCAGAUAUUCUGGUUUCUUUGGACAAUUAUUAUAUUUCAAAGGGUAUCAACAGAGUUUGUGGAAUAUGAUUUCCUCUGUAUGUGAUCUUUGAAUUAUUAUCAUUAAUUGAGCCACCACCUGCAGGAGUGGGAUCUGGUGAUUGUAAAUGAUUGUUAAUUUGUUAUUAUUUUUUCUAGCUUCUUCUUCUUGUUGUCUCUGACUAUGGCAGAUAAAAAUAUGGAGGAGGAGGACAGUGAUAUUGAGCCAGCUCCAAAGCUGAUUGAAAUUGUCUUCCUAAACUGCAGAGGACUGGUGGACCACUGGGUUGAGCCAUAUCUCAGAAUUACAAUUGAAAGUUUGCAUAGAACUGGAAAAAUCAUAUUUGAAAUGUCUUCUCAUUCAAUUGAUUUCAGAUGGUCUAUACUAAAACGCCGCAUUGAAUCUUAUCAUAUUGCAAAAGAAGUUAUGAUGUGUAGCAUUGUGAAGGUCUAUUCACUGCAGGCUUGUGACUAUUUUUAUGCUGGGAACAUGGCAAGCAAGUUUGUUGGUUUGGUUUAACAUCCUUGCUGGAACUUCCAUCUGAUCAAUUGCCAGGAGAGGCUUUAGGCCAGGUAUUCUGUGCCACUCUUGAUCUUCUGGUUCCAUACAAGGAUCAAGUUGCAGAAUCUGCAAAAGAGGAUGAAGAUGAAAUGGACAGCUUUCAAACUGAUGAUGAUGAUGAGGAUGAAAGUGGUUCUGACAGGGAAAUGGGAGCUGAUGCUGAAGGUGGGGAUGAAGCUGACAGUAGCAAACUUAGAAAAUUGACUGAUCAGGAAAAGUCAUUCAGGCCCAAUGAUGAGGAUGAUGAUGACUAGGAUGAUGACUUCAGUGAUGACGAAGAGUUACAGUCCCCAAUAGAUGAGGUGGAUCCUUUUAUUUAUUUUGUGGAUACAGUGAAAGUGAUGCAAUCAUCAGAGCCAACGAGGUUCAGAACCUAACUCAGACACUUGAGUUCUCUUAUCAAGCUCUUGCAAAUGGUCAAGUUGGAAAAGUCAGCAGCUACCAUAGAUUCUUAAGCUUUUGGACGUACAUUCUUGGUUCUUGUUUUGCAGUUAUGUUCUUGAUGCUUUUGUCAUUGCACCCAUUCUUUGUAAGUGAUGAAGGGGAUUGCAUAUUUAUUUGAGGCAUUUAUUGGCUCGGUGGUCUUAGUGUGUUUGUGAGUCUAAGAGUUUGCAGUGUUGAAAUGCCUGCGAGUUUAGGAAGUCAAAUGAUGUUGGAUUCAGGAAACUGUGGAGUUUAGCGGCAUAACUUUUCUAUUGAUUAGUGACAAUUUAGAAAAGCCAACAUCCUCGUGGUACUACCAAGGCCAGUGCUGAUCCUGGACACUACCGAGGCCUCAUAAUGUGAUUUCAAUGUCAUGAUGCCUGAUCGGAAAUUAAUUGAAAAUUAAACAAUGAUAUUACAUAUAAUAUUUCAGUGAAACUUCGUUAAGGAAAAUAAAAUCAACUAACAAGGAGUAAGCAUUAAUGUACCGGUCGCGAAAAUGAGCAUAGCGAAUGGAGGAAAAUCGAGAGAGGGGAGGGAUGAGGUGUGGUUAGGAGUUAAAGUUGAAAUACUGAGUGGCUAUGAAGCAAAAAGCAUUAACAAGCAAUAUUUUUAAAUAUUUUCCAAAUGACAAAGUUCCAUACUCAAGCAAAUGUAAACUGUGUCUGUGUCCAAGUACUUGCCAGGAAGGAAACAGUAAGCAAUCCAUGAACAAGAGAAGCUAUAUGUAAGGAUUAGUCAAAUCCUUAACCAAGGGAUUUAGCUUCCCCUCUUAUUUAUUUAUUAGGAUUAUGAUUCCGUUAGUUACGAAAUUUGUGUCCCUGUGUUACUUCUAUUUAAACUGUAAUAUUCAGCUGUAAUAGGCAUAUGAAUAAAGCAAAUAUUUAUACA